AGGUCAGUAGUUCAAUUGGUAGAGCGUCGGUCUCCAAACCCGAUUGUUGGGGGUUCGAGCCCCUCCUGCCCUGCCA
This 76-nucleotide transfer RNA is filed under the name Acinetobacter baumannii 44362_3. Its description in RNAcentral is "tRNA-Trp". It matches the Rfam family "tRNA". Rfam says of the family: Transfer RNA (tRNA) molecules are approximately 80 nucleotides in length. Their secondary structure includes four short double-helical elements and three loops (D, anti-codon, and T loops). The record is from RNAcentral. Lineage: Bacteria; Pseudomonadati; Pseudomonadota; Gammaproteobacteria; Moraxellales; Moraxellaceae.